GUGCUCCUUUCAGCAGCACAUAUACUAAAAUUAGACCCAUUCAGAGGGAUUAGCAUAACCCUUGCACAUGGAUGACAUACAAAUUCAUGAAGUGUUCCAUAUUUUU
This 106-nucleotide small nuclear RNA is filed under the name Sus scrofa (pig). Lineage: Eukaryota; Metazoa; Chordata; Mammalia; Artiodactyla; Suidae. The record is from RNAcentral.